Molecule: ribosomal RNA, 253 nt
Filed under: uncultured bacterium
Lineage: Bacteria
Description: partial 16S ribosomal RNA
Rfam family: Bacterial small subunit ribosomal RNA
Source: RNAcentral
UACAGAGGUCUCAAGCAUUGUUCGGAUUCAUUGGGCGUAAAGGGUGCGUAGGCGGCGCGGUAAGUCGGGUGUGAAAUCUCGGAGCUUAACUCCGAAACUGCAUUCGAUACUGCCGUGCUUGAGGACUGGAGAGGAGACUGGAAUUUACGGUGUAGCGGUGAAAUGCGUAGAUAUCUGGAGGAACACCGGUGGCGAAGGCGGCAUCCUGGACCAACACUGACACUGAGGAGCGAAAGCCAGGGGAGCAAACGGG